Molecule: long non-coding RNA, 108 nt
Organism: Sapajus apella (tufted capuchin)
Lineage: Eukaryota; Metazoa; Chordata; Mammalia; Primates; Cebidae
Exons: 3
Source: RefSeq, a predicted model, not a curated record
CUUAAAAAAAUUUACAAGAAAUUAGCCAUCCCCAUCAAAAAGAGGGCAGGGGGUAUGAACAGACACUUCUCAAAAGAAGACAUUUAUGCAGCCAACAAACACAUGAAA